This 64-nucleotide transfer RNA is filed under the name Helianthus annuus (common sunflower). It matches the Rfam family "tRNA". From Rfam's summary of the family: Transfer RNA (tRNA) molecules are approximately 80 nucleotides in length. Their secondary structure includes four short double-helical elements and three loops (D, anti-codon, and T loops). The record is from RNAcentral. Lineage: Eukaryota; Viridiplantae; Streptophyta; Magnoliopsida; Asterales; Asteraceae.
GGCAUCCUUUCAUUGGACGUGGCUUUUAACCACGUGGUCGUGGGUUCGAGUCCCACGGAUGGCG